This 1128-nucleotide long non-coding RNA is filed under the name Apteryx haastii (Great spotted kiwi). RNAcentral describes it as "lncRNA (ENSAHAG00000014533.1)". The record is from RNAcentral. Lineage: Eukaryota; Metazoa; Chordata; Aves; Apterygiformes; Apterygidae.
AUGGGGUUGCGUCUCACCUGCGGCUCCCGAGGAGCUGGGCAGACCAGUCCCUGCCCAUCUCCUCCUGGGGCUGAGGUGGCUUCCAGGUCUCACGUGUCUCCAUGCCGCGCUGCGGAGCUGAUGGGGGAGAGGGCAGAUGUGGGAUUGCUCUGCCCAGAGCCUUCGUGUUCGUCUCGGGACAGAGCAGCUCUUCCUGCCCAUCCUGGAGAAUUUGGGCAGCAGAAUUCCCAUCAGGGCAGCGCUGCUCCUUCCUCCGCCGUGUGCACCCCCCGGAGGGCUGUCCCGCGGGCGGGUGGCCAAGGCUCACGGGGACGAAACCACAGCACGAUGGGGCGCAGCAUUGCUGGCGUUUGGCUUUGGGCAGCUGCAGGGUGGCCCUGGACCCGGUGCCCCCCAGGGCUGGCGCGAGGGGCCGGGAGCCGUCGCCCGCUUCCCCCUGCCCCUCCGCGCGCCUUCUCCGGGGCUCCCGGCCGAGCCCACGGCCCCCGCGACGGGGCAGCGUGGGUGACGCACCCUGGGGCACGGGGAGGGCGGUGGAAAGCGGGAGCCCCCCAAAUUCACAUGCCGGCUCUCCGCAGCGAGGCGCUUCCGUUGAUGCUGCAGCAACUUGUGCGCAGCCCGGCCAGGACAGGCGGCCGGCUCAUCCCGCGGCGGGGAGCCCCGCUCCGGAAAGGGGGAGCGAGGGGAGCAGCGGUGGCGGCGGCAGCGGCUCUGUGCCGCGGCGGCGGCUGCCACGAGAUGGAGGCAUCGGCCAGCGCCUGCCCGCGCGCUCGGGGCCUUCCCGCAGGGCUGGGCCUGGCCAAGCCGCAGGGACAUCACCGUCCCCGUCCCCAGUGCGGUGGGCUCACGGCCCCCUCCCCAAAUCCCUGCUGCGCCAAAAGGGGCCCAGGCGUCCUGCCCUCCCAGCCAUGCUCCGCCGGGGGGGGGGUAUGGAGGAUGUCCUGCGGCAGCACCGUUCGGUGGCAGGGUCUCGGCUCGGCGCGGGCGGCCGGGAUUAGGGGACAGGGCAGAGGCCUGGCACCGGGCGCCGGUGGCGGAGCCGAAGGCUUGGCUGGGGGGAGGCUGUUUCACCCCUCCCCGCAGGGCGAUGGGGGGGGGACCGGUGGCCUCUCCGGAUAUGUUCCCUAA